GAUAUUGGACAAUGGGGGCAACCCUGAUCCAGCCAUGCCGCGUGUGUGAAGAAGGUCNNNGGUUUNUAAAGCACUUUAAGUUGNGAGNAAGGUCUUUAGGCUAAUACCCUGAAGUUUUGACGUUACCAACAGAAUAAGCAUCGGCUAACUCUGUGCCAGCAGCCGCGGUAAUACAUAGGGUGCAAGCGUUAAUCGGAAUUACUGGGCGUAAAGCGCGCGUAGGUGGUUCAGUAAGAUGGGUGUGAAAUCCCCGGGCUUAACCUGGGAACUGCUUUCAUAACUGCUGAGCUAGAGUACGGUAGAGGGUAGUGGAAUUUCCUGUGUAGCGGUGAAAUGCGUAGAUAUAGGAAGGAACACCAGUGGCGAAGGCGACUACCUGGACUGAUACUGACACUGAGGUACGAAAGCGUGGGGAGCAAACA
RNAcentral lists this ribosomal RNA (422 nucleotides) under uncultured bacterium. Its description in RNAcentral is "partial 16S ribosomal RNA". It matches the Rfam family "Bacterial small subunit ribosomal RNA", at positions 359 to 774 of the family's 1533-position model. The record is from RNAcentral.